ACGAACGCUGGCGGCAGGCCUAACACAUGCAAGUCGAGCGAGGACUUCGGUUCUAGCGGCGGACGGGUGAGUAACGCGUGGGAAUGUGCCCUUCUCUACGGAAUAGCCCUGGGAAACUGGGAGUAAUACCGUAUACGCCCUUUUGGGGAAAGAUUUAUCGGAGAAGGAUCAGCCCGCGUUGGAUUAGGUAGUUGGUGGGGUAAUGGCCUACCAAGCCGACGAUCCAUAGCUGGUUUGAGAGGAUGAUCAGCCACACUGGGACUGAGACACGGCCCAGACUCCUACGGGAAGCAGCAGUGGGGAAUCUUAGACAAUGGGGGCAACCCUGAUCUAGCCAUGCCGCGUGAGUGAUGAAGGCCUUAGGGUUGUAAAGCUCUUUCAGCUGGGAAGAUAAUGACGGUACCAGCAGAAGAAGCCCCGGCUAACUCCGUG
Molecule: ribosomal RNA, 432 nt
Filed under: uncultured bacterium
Lineage: Bacteria
Description: partial 16S ribosomal RNA
Rfam family: Bacterial small subunit ribosomal RNA
Source: RNAcentral